This 496-nucleotide ribosomal RNA is filed under the name uncultured bacterium. Its description in RNAcentral is "bacterial SSU rRNA". It matches the Rfam family "Bacterial small subunit ribosomal RNA", at positions 29 to 518 of the family's 1533-position model. The record is from RNAcentral.
AUGAGCGCUAGCGACAGGCCUAACACAUGCAAGUCGAGGGGCAGCACAAGGAGCAAUCUGAGGUGGCGACCGGCGCACGGGUGAGUAACACGUAUGCAACCUGCCUGUAAGCGGGGAAUAACCCGUUGAAAGACGGACUAAUACCGCAUAAUACUAAAUUACUGCAUGGUAAUUUAUUUAAACAUUUAUGGCUUACAGAUGGGCAUGCGCAUGAUUAGCUAGUUGGAGAGGUAACGGCUCCCCAAGGCAACGAUCAUUAGGGGUUCUGAGAGGAAGGUCCCCCACACUGGUACUGAGACACGGACCAGACUCCUACGGGAGGCAGCAGUGAGGAAUAUUGGUCAAUGGACGAGAGUCUGAACCAGCCAAGUCGCGUGCAGGAAGAAUGUCCUUAAUGGAUUGUAAACUGCUUUUGCAGGGGAAUAAAGUGCAUCACGUGUGAUGUUUUGUAUGUACUCUGCGAAUAAGGAUCGGCUAACUCCGUGCCAGCAGCUGC